UAACCUGGUGGUUUUGUGGAGAUUCUGAUCCAGUAGGUCUUGGGCGAGGCCUCAGAGUCUACAUUUCUAUCAAUAGAGCAAGAAAACCCUUACGGUUUAUGUGCCAAACCUGCGUUUUACUGAUGAAGAAAUGCAGAUCCAGAAUCACCAGGGAAUUUUAGAUAAACUUCCUAGCUAAUUCUCAGGCAUAGUAAACCCUCAGAAACUUGUCCUACAGUUUGUCUGAGCC
Molecule: long non-coding RNA, 229 nt
Filed under: Homo sapiens (human)
Lineage: Eukaryota; Metazoa; Chordata; Mammalia; Primates; Hominidae
Description: non-protein coding lnc-ERCC6L2-8:2
Source: RNAcentral